This 536-nucleotide ribosomal RNA is filed under the name uncultured bacterium. RNAcentral's name for it is "bacterial SSU rRNA". It matches the Rfam family "Bacterial small subunit ribosomal RNA", at positions 773 to 1299 of the family's 1533-position model. The record is from RNAcentral.
AGUGAAUAGAUACCCCGGUAGUCCACGCCGUAAACGAUGAUAACUAGCUGUCCGGGCCUCAUGGAGCUUGGGUGGCGCAGCUAACGCAUUAAGUUAUCCGCCUGGGGAGUACGGUCGCAAGAUUAAAACUCAAAGGAAUUGACGGGGGCCGUGCACAAGCGGUGGAGCAUGUGGUUUAAUUUCGAAGCAACGCGCAGAACCUUACCCAGCCUUUGACAUCCUGGUCGCGGGUAGGAGAGAUCCUUCCCUUCAGUUCGGCUGGACCAGUGACAGGUGCUGCAUGGCUGUCGUCAGCUCGUGUCGUGAGAUGUUUGGGUUAAGUCCCGCAACGAGCGCAACCCUCGUCCUUAGUUGCCAUCAUUUAGUUGGGCACUCUAAGGAAACCCGCCGGUGAUAAGCCGGAGGAAGGUGGGGAUGACGUCAAGUCCUCAUGGCCCUUACAGGCUGGGCUACACACGUGCUACAAUGGCGGUGACAGUGGGCAGCGACCCCGCAAGGGGUGAGCUAAUCUCCAAAACGCCGUCUCAGUUCGGAUU